GCUAUUUUAGUUUAUUUUUGAAUUUGCGAUUUGUAAUUGUGAGGAUUCGGUAGCU
RNAcentral lists this transfer RNA (55 nucleotides) under Ophidascaris sp. CYZ-2020. RNAcentral describes it as "tRNA-Thr". The record is from RNAcentral. Lineage: Eukaryota; Metazoa; Nematoda; Chromadorea; Rhabditida; Anisakidae.